Molecule: microRNA, 20 nt
Filed under: Python bivittatus (Burmese python)
Lineage: Eukaryota; Metazoa; Chordata; Lepidosauria; Squamata; Pythonidae
Description: pbv-miR-365-3p
Gene: pbv-miR-365-3p
Source: miRBase by way of RNAcentral
AAUGCCCCUAAAAAUCCUUA